GUAGUCCUAGCUGUAAACGGUGCACGUUUGCUGUAAGAGGAAUCGACCCCUUUUGUGGCGAAGCUAACGCGCUAAACGUGCCGCCUGGGGAGUACGGUCGCAAAGAUUAAAACUCAAAGAAAUUGACGGGGGCCUGCACAAGCGGUGGAGUAUGUGGCUUAAUUCGAUGCAACGCGAAGAACCUUACCUGGCCUUGACAUGCACGUAGUAGAAGCCUGAAAGGGUAACGACCCCGCAAGGGGGAGCGUGCACAGGUGCUGCAUGGCUGUCGUCAGCUCGUGUCGUGAGAUGUUGGGUUAAG
Molecule: ribosomal RNA, 301 nt
Filed under: uncultured bacterium
Lineage: Bacteria
Description: bacterial SSU rRNA
Rfam family: Bacterial small subunit ribosomal RNA
Source: RNAcentral